Long non-coding RNA from Panthera uncia (snow leopard), 1069 nucleotides. RefSeq lists it as uncharacterized. The transcript is spliced from 2 exons. NCBI's taxonomy places the organism in Eukaryota, Metazoa, Chordata, Mammalia, Carnivora, Felidae. The record is from RefSeq and is a predicted model, not a curated record.
UUCCCUGAAGUGUACUGCAAACCUAAAAACACCGCAAACCCGUCUUUCAUCACCACCUGGAUGACUGUUUGAAGAGAAACAGAAAACAACUCUUAACCCCUGAGAGGCUGGGCUCGCACUGAGAGAACAUGCCGUGGCCUCCCGCUCGCUGGGCAGAUGAGGAAACCCAAGCCCGAAGUAGGAACCAAAAGAAUUGGACUCUUUCUGGGCUAUCUGGAGCCUGCCUGAAGAAAAGUGAAGAGGCUAUUUAAGCAGUUUUAAGGAAUUUAUCUGGGAAACGAGGAAGGCUACUGACCAGCAAAUCCAAGCUGUUUAUAUGGGUCUGGAUGUUGUGCGCAUCUUCAGCAGGAACUCCCCUGAAGUGCUUAAGUUUUGAACUUCCUGUCUCUCUUAUGACCAUGGCAAAUGGAACCAUCCACUUGACACACUUCUCUAUAUCACACCACUGAUACCCUGCAACGAAAAUAAAUUUUAGGCUCGAUUGGUUUGGAAGUUUACUACACCUUGUGAAUGGACCGGAAAAGCCAACGUACCUGAAACCUUUUGCAUCAAUUCAGAGGAAGAGAAAUGAUACAAGGCAGAAGCAGCAAGUACACCAUAGGGAAAUUCUAAGCAGCCAACAUCCAGGACACAAAGAUCUAAAAGCUAUGGAGAAGAAAAAGAACACUGAGGCAGAUGGCCAACAUACAUCCCUUCUAGAGUUAAUCUAAUGACGGGGUAGGCAGCCCCACAGAGGUAACAGAGCCACUUACCUCUGCAAUCUGUAUGAAGAUUUGCUGGGGAUACUGUGGUAGGAGCACUUCAUAUAAAUCAUUUAGAUAUGCAACCUGCAUAUAUACAUUCAGCCAGGACACAAUGGUCAGGGGACUUAAAUGCCACUUAAGGGCCUAAGGGAAAACAGACAAAAGAGACCAAUGGUUGAGAAAAGAAAAAGAUAUUUCUGCUCCCCUUGGGCCUCUAAAGGAGUUCAAAAUGCAGCCAUGUUCCACGCCACAAUGUGUCCAGCUGGAGAACACCUAGGCGGAUGCACUCACACGAAUGUGGAAAAGCUAUUAUGUAUGCAUUUUUU